Molecule: ribosomal RNA, 400 nt
Filed under: uncultured bacterium
Lineage: Bacteria
Description: bacterial SSU rRNA
Rfam family: Bacterial small subunit ribosomal RNA
Source: RNAcentral
CAGAUCCUGACAUCCUUCUGAAAAAUCCUUAGCCGGAUUCCUCCUUCGGGACAGAAGAGACAGGUGGUGCAUGGUUGUCGUCAGCUCGUGUCGUGAGAUGUUGGGUUAAGUCCCGCAACGAGCGCAACCCUUGUGUUUAGUUGCCAACAGGUUAAGCUGUGCACUCUAAACAGACUGCCGUGGAUAACACGGAGGAAGGUGGGGAUGACGUCAAACCAUCAUGCCCCUUAUGUUCUGGGCUACACACGUGCUACAAUGGCUGGUACAAAGAGAAGCAAGACGGUGACGUGGAGCAAAUCUCAAAAACCAGUCCCAGUUCGGAUUGUAGGCUGAAACUCGCCUACAUGAAGUUGGAGUUGCUAGUAAUCGCAGAUCAGAAUGCUGCGGUGAAUGCGUUCCC